RNAcentral lists this transfer RNA (71 nucleotides) under Osteochilus sp. CBM-ZF-12420. Its description in RNAcentral is "tRNA-Tyr". It matches the Rfam family "tRNA". Rfam says of the family: Transfer RNA (tRNA) molecules are approximately 80 nucleotides in length. Their secondary structure includes four short double-helical elements and three loops (D, anti-codon, and T loops). The record is from RNAcentral. Lineage: Eukaryota; Metazoa; Chordata; Actinopteri; Cypriniformes; Cyprinidae.
GGUGGGGUGGCCGAGUGGUCAGGCAGCGGCCUGUAGUCCCGAAGAUAGAGGUUCGAGCCCUCUCCCUACUA